RNAcentral lists this ribosomal RNA (587 nucleotides) under uncultured bacterium. RNAcentral's name for it is "bacterial SSU rRNA". It matches the Rfam family "Bacterial small subunit ribosomal RNA", at positions 337 to 916 of the family's 1533-position model. The record is from RNAcentral.
UCCUACGGGAGGCAGCAGUGGGGAAUAUUGGACAAUGGGGGCAACCCUGAUCCAGCCAUGCCGCGUGUGUGAAGAAGGCCCUCGGGUUGUAAAGCACUUUCAGCGAGGAAGAACGCCUAGCGGUUAAUACCCGCUAGGAAAGACAUCACUCGCAGAAGAAGCACCGGCUAACUCCGUGCCAGCAGCCGCGGUAAUACGGAGGGUGCAAGCGUUAAUCGGAAUUACUGGGCGUAAAGCGCGCGUAGGUGGCUUGAUAAGCCGGUUGUGAAAGCCCCGGGCUCAACCUGGGAACGGCAUCCGGAACUGUCAAGCUAGAGUGCAGGAGAGGAAGGUAGAAUUCCCGGUGUAGCGGUGAAAUGCGUAGAGAUCGGGAGGAAUACCAGUGGCGAAGGCGGCCUUCUGGACUGACACUGACACUGAGGUGCGAAAGCGUGGGUAGCAAACAGGAUUAGAUACCCUGGUAGUCCACGCCGUAAACGAUGUCGACCAGCCGUUGGGUGCCUAGCGCACUUUGUGGCGAAGUUAACGCGAUAAGUCGACCGCCUGGGGAGUACGGCCGCAAGGUUAAAACUCAAAUGAAUUGCCGG